GGCAACCUACGGGGGGCAGCAGUAGGGAAUUUUCGUCAAUGGGCGCAAGCCUGAACGAGCAAUGCCGCGUGAACGAGGAAGGUCUUCGGAUCGUAAAGUUCUGUUGAAGGGGAAAAAGAGCGGAGAGAGGAAAUGAACUCCGAUUGAUAUUACCCUUCGAGGAAGUCACGGCUAACUACGUGCCAGCAGCCGCGGUAAUACGUAGGUGGCGAGCGUUAUCCGGAAUGAUUGGGCGUAAAGGGUGCGUAGGCGGCCUGCUAAGUCUGGAGUGAACGGCACCGGCUCAACAGGUACAGGCUCUGGAA
This 305-nucleotide ribosomal RNA is filed under the name uncultured bacterium. Its description in RNAcentral is "bacterial SSU rRNA". It matches the Rfam family "Bacterial small subunit ribosomal RNA", at positions 333 to 631 of the family's 1533-position model. The record is from RNAcentral.